AGAGUUUGAUCCUGGCUCAGAGCGAACGCUGGCGGCGUGCUUAACACAUGCAAGUCGAGUGCGCGCCUGUAGCAAUACAGGUGGCGCACGGCGCACGGGUGCGUAACACGUGGGUAAUCUGCCCUUCGAUGGGGAAUAACUCCGGGAAACCGAAGCUAAUUCCGCAUAACAUUCCUUGAACUUCGGUUUGGGGACUCAAAGCCGUAAGGCGUCGGAGGAGGAACCCGCGCACGAUUAGCUAGUUGGUAGGGUAACGGCCUACCAAGGCUUUGAUCGUUAGCUGGUCUGAGAGGAUGGCCAGCCACACUGGAACUGAGACACGGUCCAGACUCCUACGGGAGGCAGCAGUGGGGAAUCUUGCACAAUGGGCGAAAGCCUGAUGCAGCGACGCCGCGUGGGGGAUGAAGCUUUUCGGAGUGUAAACCCCUUUCGACCCGGACGAAUGCCCCGCAAGGGGACUGACGGUACGGGUAUAAGAAGCCCCGGCUAACUACGUGCCAGCAGCCGCGGUAAGACGUGGGGGGCCAGCGUUGCUCGGAAUUACUGGGUGUAAAGGGUUCGUAGGCGGUGUAGCAAGUCGGGAGUGAAAUCUCUGGGCUCAACCCAGAGACUGCUUCCGAAACUGCUGUGCUUGAGUGUGGGAGAGGCGCGUGGAAUUGCAGGUGUAGCGGUGAAAUGCGUAGAUAUCUGCAGGAACACCCGUGGCGAAAGCGGCGCGCUGGACCACUACUGACGCUGAGGAACGAAAGCUAGGGGAGCAAACAGGAUUAGAUACCCUGGUAGUCCUAGCCCUAAACGAUCAGGACUUGGGGUGCCGCACGUUCGUG
This 827-nucleotide ribosomal RNA is filed under the name uncultured bacterium. Its description in RNAcentral is "bacterial SSU rRNA". It matches the Rfam family "Bacterial small subunit ribosomal RNA", at positions 8 to 838 of the family's 1533-position model. The record is from RNAcentral.